UACGGAGGGGCUAGCGUUGUUCGGAAUUACUGGGCGUAAAGCGCACGUAGGCGGCUUUGUAAGUUAGAGGUGAAGCCCGGGGCUCAACUCCGGAAUUGCCUUUAAGACUGCAUCGCUAGAAUUGUGGAGAGGUAAGUGGAAUUCCGAGUGUAGAGGUGAAAUUCGUAGAUAUUCGGAAGAACACCAGUGGCGAAGGCGACUCAACUG
This 207-nucleotide ribosomal RNA is filed under the name uncultured bacterium. RNAcentral's name for it is "partial 16S ribosomal RNA". It matches the Rfam family "Bacterial small subunit ribosomal RNA", at positions 524 to 731 of the family's 1533-position model. The record is from RNAcentral.